CUAAACAAGCCUUUGUGUUCAUAUCUAUUUAAAGAAAUGUAAGUAUAAAUAGACACAUGGAGAUAAGAGAAGAGUAUAUGAAUGAAAAAUAUUUUUUGUGUGCACAGACUGUGGCGUUUACAACAGUGUGCAUUUUAUUCGGCCACAAGGCUGUGUGCAUAGGUGAAUGGGUACAUUUGUAGUUUGUUGUAAGUGCAUAUCUGAUUAUGGUAUGCAUGAGUGUUGCAGGAUACUUGGGCGCAUGUGUCUCAGUAUGUGUUUUAUUUGAAUUUUUGAGUGUGACUGUGUAUUUGAAUGUCUUGAGUGACUGUGCAUAUAUAUGCUAGUAUUUGCUAAUACCUGACUUGCAUAUAUUCAGGUGAACAUAUCUGUACAUAGGCAUGUGUUGUGAAACACAGUUAAGGGUAUAUUUUUUGAAUAAGCCUGUGGGUAUGCCCAUCUGAAUACACAAAAGUGUGAAGUACCAGUUUGCACAGUUUUUAUUUGCAUUUGUAUGUUUGUAUUUAUCUUGGUUUGGUCUAAAGCAUAUAUUAUAGAAUAAUGUAUUUAAAUCUAUGUGCAUGCCACUCUUAAUUCACAAGUACAUUUAUGUGUGUAUGCAUUUAUUUAAGAUGUCUUUGCAUGUAUGUAUGUGAUGUGUGGGUCAAAUUUUCUUAUGCAGAUCAACAAGUGCGCAUGCAAGAAUACAUGAGUGUACUUCUAUAUGUGCAUGUGUUGAAAUAUGCCCUUAUGUUCUAUUCCAAUGUACAUAUAAGUUACUCUUCUUUCAUUUAUGUGGCUUCUCAGAAUGGGUGUGUGAAUGUAACAGUGUAUAUAUACUUGACUGUGAUUGUGUGCUUUGUGAGUAUCUGCGUUUCCAUAUUUAAUUGUAUACCUAUAAGAAUGAAUUAAAGUAUGUACAAACUAUAAGCAUGUGUACAUGACCAGAUGUGUAUACAAGUCUAUGUUAGAAUAUCUGCAUAUGUAUACUUCAUCUCAUUUAUAAGCAUUUGCAUAUUUGGGUACAGAUAUGUGUGAACACGCCUAUACAGAUAUGUAUGCGUCCGUGUGUGUUUGUAUGUGUGUCUGUGUAUGAAUAUACUUCUGUGGUUAUGUUUGAUGAUUUAUGUAUACACACUUGGGAGCUUCCUCUUCUGUACCCAUAUUUCUUUAUCAUCUCUUUAGAUAUGAUACAUAUAUUUUUACAUAUCUCUGUAGAUAUGUAAAAAUACUUUUUCUACCCGUGUCCCCACUUGUGUUUGUGAGUGAAUGCAUGUCAUUCAUGAGUAUAUCAUGUGAAUAUAGCCUAUUUUAAAGAGUAAAUGGAUGUACUUGUGACUAAGUCCAAUGGAAAUGUGCCUGUGUGUGAAUAAAUAAAGGUAUUUGUGCAUCUGCCUAUCGGA
RNAcentral lists this long non-coding RNA (1382 nucleotides) under Rattus norvegicus (Norway rat). RNAcentral's name for it is "long non-coding RNA NONRATT030550". The record is from RNAcentral. Lineage: Eukaryota; Metazoa; Chordata; Mammalia; Rodentia; Muridae.